AGUGAACGCUGGCGGUAGGCCUACACAUGCAAGUCGAACGGCAGCACAGGAGAGCUUGCUCUCUGGGUGGCGAGUGGCGGACGGGUGAGGAAUACAUCGGAAUCUACUCUGUCGUGGGGGAUAACGUAGGGAAACUUACGCUAAUACCGCAUACGACCUACGGGUGAAAGCAGGGGACCUUCGGGCCUUGCGCGAUUGAAUGAGCCGAUGUCGGAUUAGCUAGUUGGCGGGGUAAAGGCCCACCAAGGCGACGACCCAUAGCUGGUCUGAGAGGAUGAUCAGCCACACUGGAACUGAGACACGGUCCAGACUCCUACGGGAGGCAGCAGUGGGGAAUAUUGGACAAUGGGCGCAAGCCUGAUCCAGCCAUACCGCGUGGGUGAAGAAGGCCUUCGGGUUGUAAAGCCCUUUUGUUGGGAAAGAAAUCCAGCUGGCUAAUACCCGGUUGGGAUGACGGUACCCAAAGAAUAAGCACCGGCUAACUUCGUGCCAGCCGCCGCCGUAA
Molecule: ribosomal RNA, 505 nt
Filed under: uncultured bacterium
Lineage: Bacteria
Description: partial 16S ribosomal RNA
Rfam family: Bacterial small subunit ribosomal RNA
Source: RNAcentral